Molecule: non-coding RNA, 76 nt
Organism: Myotis davidii
Lineage: Eukaryota; Metazoa; Chordata; Mammalia; Chiroptera; Vespertilionidae
Source: Rfam
GAGACACCCUUCUGGGGCAAGACUUGCUUCAGUGGGGCUUUGGUGCUCACUGAUUCUGCUCCCUGAGUGUGUCCCU